UAAUACUUGAACGAAUAUUUAUUAUAUUUACUAGCGUUAAAACUAGUAAAAAUAAUAAAUAUGUAUCUGUUAAGCCUUAUAAAAAGAUAGUUUAAAUUAAAGGAAUUAUAACAAAGAAGUAACACGUAAUAAAUUAUAUUUAUUAAGUGUGUAUCAAUCGAGUUUCUGACCUAUCAGCUUUUGAUGUUAGGGUAUUGGCCUAACAUGGCUAUGACGGGUAACGGGGAAUUAGAGUUCGAUUCCGGAGAGGGAGCCUGAGGAAUAGCUACCACAUCUAAGGAAGGCAGCAGGCGCGUAAAUUACCCAAUUCUAAAGAAGAGAGGUAGUGACAAGAAAUAACAAUGCAAGGCCAAAUUUUGGUUUUGCAAUUGGAAUGAUAGGAAUUUAAAAACUUCCUAAAGUAACAAUUGGAGGGCAAGUCUGGUGCCAGCAGCCGCGGUAAUUCCAGCUCCAAUAGCGUAUAUUAAAAUUGUUGCAGUUAAAACGCUCGUAGUUGAAUAUCAAAAAAUCUAAAUUUUAUUAAAUCUAUUUUUUUCUUAUUUUUUUCUGCUUAUUAAAAUGUGGUAUCUUCGGAUACCCGAUUUAAUUUGCAUAAAGAAAACUAUAGGAAAAAAAAUAUGAUUUCUUAAAUUUAAAAAGAUUUUUUUUAAAGAUUAUUUAUUACAUAUGUUUUCUAAAUAUAUGUGAUGACAAUUUUUGUUACUUUGAGUAAAUUAGAGUGUUCAAAGCAUGCAGUUAAAACAGUUAUCUGUGUAUGAAUACUAUAGCAUGGAAUAGCAGAAUUGAACAAGCUAAAAUUUUGUUCUAUUUUUUUUAUUUUGGCUUAGUUACGAUUAAUAGGAGUAGUUUGGAGGCAUUAGUAUUCAGAUGUUAGAGGUGAAAUUCUUAGAUUUUCUGGAGACUAACAACUGCGAAAGCAUUUGCCUAAAAUACUUCCAUUAAUCAAGAACGAAAGUUAAGGGAGUGAAGACGAUCAGAUACCGUCGUAAUCUUAACCAUAAACUAUGCCGACUAGGUGUUGGAUGAAAGUGUAAAAAAUAAAAAAUAUUUAUUAUUCAAGUCCCUGAUUUGAACAUAUAAAUAUUUUUUAGAUUGCUUCCUUCAGUACCUUAUGAGAAAUCAAAGUCUUUGGGUUCUGGGGCGAGUAUUCGCGCAAGCGAGAAAGUUAAAAGAAUUGACGGAAGGGCACCACCAGGCGUGGAGCUUGCGGCUUAAUUUGACUCAACACGGGAAAACUCACUAGUUUAAGACAAGAGUAGGAUUGACAGAUUAAUAGCUCUUUCUUGAUUUCUUGGAUGGUGAUGCAUGGCCGUUUUUAGUUCGUGAAUAUGAUUUGUCUGGUUAAUUCCGAUAACGAACGAGAUCUUAACCUGCUAACUAGCGGUAAAUAUGCUAUAUUCAUAUAGAAAAAGGGAAAACUGGAAAUUAAUAAGUAAUAAUAGAAAAAAUUAGGAUGCUAUAUAUUAAUUUAUAUAAAUUCCUUUUUUUUUACUAUCAUUUACUAUAUUUAUUUUUUUGUUAUCUCUUUUACUAUAUGAAUGUAUUUACUUGAUUGUAAAGCUUCUUAGAGGGACAUUGCGUGUCUAACGCAAGGAAGUUUGAGGCAACAACAGGUCUGUGAUGUCCUUAGAUGAACUAGGCUGCACGCGUGCUACAAUGAUAUAUAUAACGAGUUUUAAAAAAUAUAUUUUUUUACAUAUAAUAUGUUUACAUAUAUUAUGUAAAAAAGAUAUAAUUUUCCUUCACUGAAAAGUGUAGGCAAUCUUUAUCAAUAUAUAUCGUAAUGGGGAUAGAUUAUUGCAAUUAUUAAUCUUGAACGAGGAAUGCCUAGUAAGCAUAAUUCAUCAGAUUGUGCUGACUACGUCCCUGCCCUUUGCACACACCGCCCGUCGCUCCUACCGAUUGAAAGAUAUGAUGAAUUGUUUGGACAAGAAAAAACAAAAUUUAUAUUUUGUUUUUUUUUGAAAAAACCGUAAAU
This 1978-nucleotide ribosomal RNA is filed under the name unidentified Haemosporida. RNAcentral's name for it is "partial 18S ribosomal RNA". It matches the Rfam family "Eukaryotic small subunit ribosomal RNA", at positions 165 to 1764 of the family's 1831-position model. Lineage: Eukaryota; Apicomplexa; Aconoidasida; Haemosporida. The record is from RNAcentral.